RNAcentral lists this transfer RNA (89 nucleotides) under Candidatus Gorgyraea atricola. Its description in RNAcentral is "tRNA-Ser". It matches the Rfam family "tRNA". From Rfam's summary of the family: Transfer RNA (tRNA) molecules are approximately 80 nucleotides in length. Their secondary structure includes four short double-helical elements and three loops (D, anti-codon, and T loops). Further hydrogen bonds mediate the characteristic L-shaped molecular structure. tRNAs have two regions of fundamental functional importance: the anti-codon, which is responsible for specific mRNA codon recognition, and the 3' end, to which the tRNAs corresponding amino acid is attached (by aminoacyl-tRNA synthetases). tRNAs cope with the degeneracy of the genetic code in two manners: having more than one tRNA (with a specific anti-codon) for a particular amino acid; and 'wobble' base-pairing, i.e. permitting non-standard base-pairing at the 3rd anti-codon position. Lineage: Bacteria; Pseudomonadati; Candidatus Omnitrophota. The record is from RNAcentral.
GGAGAGAUCGCAUAGCCUGGCCUAGUGCGCGCGCUUGGAAAGCGCGUAGACGGGCAACCGUCUCCAGGGUUCGAAUCCCUGUCUCUCCG